UGGGGAAUAUUGCACAAUGGGCGAAAGCCUGAUGCAGCGACGCCGCGUGAGGGAUGACGGCCUUCGAGUUGUAAACCUCUUUCAGUAGGGACGAAGCGCAAGUGACGGUACCUACAGAAGAAGCACCGGCCAACUACGUGCCAGCAGCCGCGGUAAUACGUAGGGUGCGAGCGUUGUCCGGAUUCACUGGGCGUAAAGAGCUCGUAGGCGGUUUGUCACGUCGUCUGUGAAAACCCGAGGCUUAACCUCGGGCCUGCAGGCGAUACGGGCAGACUUGAGUACUGUAGGGGAGACUGGAAUUCCUGGUGUAGCGGUGGAAUGCGCAGAUAUCAGGAGGAACACCGGUGGCGAAGGCGGGUCUCUGGGCAGUAACUGACGCUGAGGAGCGAAAGCGUGGGUAGCGAACAGG
This 409-nucleotide ribosomal RNA is filed under the name bacterium. RNAcentral describes it as "partial 16S ribosomal RNA". It matches the Rfam family "Bacterial small subunit ribosomal RNA", at positions 355 to 776 of the family's 1533-position model. The record is from RNAcentral.